This 379-nucleotide ribosomal RNA is filed under the name Nostoc punctiforme HM7. Its description in RNAcentral is "bacterial SSU rRNA". It matches the Rfam family "Bacterial small subunit ribosomal RNA", at positions 356 to 748 of the family's 1533-position model. The record is from RNAcentral. Lineage: Bacteria; Bacillati; Cyanobacteriota; Cyanophyceae; Nostocales; Nostocaceae.
GGGGAAUCUUCCGCAAUGGGCGAAAGCCUGACGGAGCAAUACCGCGUGAGGGAGGAAGGCUCUUGGGUCGUAAACCUCUUUUCUCAAGGAAGAAGAAAGUGACGGUACUUGAGGAAUCAGCAUCGGCUAACUCCGUGCCAGCAGCCGCGGUAAUACGGAGGAUGCAAGCGUUAUCCGGAAUGAUUGGGCGUAAAGCGUCCGCAGGUGGCAGUGUGUGUCUGCUGUUAAAGAGUCUAGCUCAACUAGAUAAAAGCGGUGGAAACUACACAGCUAGAGUACGUUCGGGGCAGAGGGAAUUCCUGGUGUAGCGGUGAAAUGCGUAGAGAUCAGGAAGAACACCGGUGGCGAAAGCGCUAUGCUAGGCCUGUAACUGACACUG